Molecule: ribosomal RNA, 465 nt
Filed under: Vreelandella stevensii
Lineage: Bacteria; Pseudomonadati; Pseudomonadota; Gammaproteobacteria; Oceanospirillales; Halomonadaceae
Description: partial 16S ribosomal RNA
Rfam family: Bacterial small subunit ribosomal RNA
Source: RNAcentral
CCUACGGGUGGCUGCAGUGGGGAAUAUUGGACAAUGGGCGAAAGCCUGAUCCAGCCAUGCCGCGUGUGUGAAGAAGGCCUUCGGGUUGUAAAGCACUUUCAGUGGGGAAGAAAGCCUUGGGGCGAAUACCCUCGAGGAAGGACAUCACCCACAGAAGAAGCACCGGCUAACUCCGUGCCAGCAGCCGCGGUAAUACGGAGGGUGCGAGCGUUAAUCGGAAUUACUGGGCGUAAAGCGCGCGUAGGCGGUCUGAUAAGCCGGUUGUGAAAGCCCCGGGCUCAACCUGGGAACGGCAUCCGGAACUGUCAGGCUAGAGUGCAGGAGAGGAAGGUAGAAUUCCCGGUGUAGCGGUGAAAUGCGUAGAGAUCGGGAGGAAUACCAGUGGCGAAGGCGGCUUUCUGGACUGACACUGACGCUGAGGCGCGAAAGCGUGGGUAGCAAACAGGAUUAGAUACCCCAGUAGUC